GAGUAAUGUCUGGGAAACUGCCUGAUGGAGGGGGAUAACUACUGGAAACGGUGGCUAAUACCGCAUAACGUCGCAAGACCAAAGAGGGGGACCUUCGGGCCUCUUGCCAUCAGAUGUGCCCAGAUGGGAUUAGCUUGUUGGUGAGGUAACGGCUCACCAAGGCGACGAUCCCUAGCUGGUCUGAGAGGAUGACCAGCCACACUGGAACUGAGACACGGUCCAGACUCCUACGGGAGGCAGCAGUGGGGAAUAUUGCACAAUGGGCGCAAGCCUGAUGCAGCCAUGCCGCGUGUAUGAAGAAGGCCUUCGGGUUGUAAAGUACUUUCAGCGGGGAGGAAGGUGUUGUGGUUAAUAACCGCAGCAAUUGACGUUACCCGCAGAAGAAGCACCGGCUAACUCCGUGCCAGCAGCCGCGGUAAUACGGAGGGUGCAAGCGUUAAUCGGAAUUACUGGGCGUAAAGCGCACGCAGGCGGUCU
This 477-nucleotide ribosomal RNA is filed under the name Salmonella enterica. RNAcentral describes it as "bacterial SSU rRNA". It matches the Rfam family "Bacterial small subunit ribosomal RNA", at positions 108 to 581 of the family's 1533-position model. The record is from RNAcentral. Lineage: Bacteria; Pseudomonadati; Pseudomonadota; Gammaproteobacteria; Enterobacterales; Enterobacteriaceae.